AGUGAGCAAUGCAAUUCUGGGAAUGUUCAGGCUCUCUCUGUUCUUUCCUCUCUUGCAAACCAUGGGCACCCUUGGGUCCCUUGGGGUCACUAUGUUACACCUGCUUUUUAUCUGUCUGGGCAAGAGCUGCUCAAGCCACACCUUGUGACACUGAGGAGGACAGCACAUUGCACUCUCACCUCCUUUGCAGUUAAGUGUGAAAUAGUGCCAAUAGAGUGUAAAAGAAAAGAAAGAAGAUGAUUCACCUCCCAAAGAUUCCCCACUGCUGUGUCCCUUCUAUCAACUUGAUACAAAAAAACACAAUGGCCCCGGGAACCACGUGUUGAAGAUGAGAGAGCUAAAAGAUGGAAAGAGACUGGAGCCCUGAGUCACCACCUGGAGGAAAACUACCCACCCAUCAGGAAUUUCUACUACACAUUUGGGAGUUUUUGGGGUUACAGCAGCUAAUUUAACGAAAACACCCAGAGACAAGAGCUAUUACUGCACAAAUUGGUUAAGUUACCUUUUUGUAUGUUUGGGUCCUCUCUAUUCGAUGAGACUGCGCGUUCCUUUGAAGCAAAUCUGUUUAAAAUUCUUAUAUCCCCAGAGGGCCUAGCAGAGAGUAUGCACAGAGUGAGCCUUCAGUAAAUGCUGAGUAAAUAAGCUCCUAAUGGAUGAAACUGUGUCUUCGAAGUUUGUUCUGACCAGUACUUAGUAUAGGAUUUUGUGCUGUUGGUCACUUUUCAUAAAGGUUCUUGCUAUUAAGGAACUUGACAUCCAAUGUACUCAUAGAAAGUAGAAAUUCAGGGGAAACAAAUAGAAGAGAUAUGUCCAAAAAUCCAUUUAAAAUUUCAUUGACAGAUAUUUAUCUCUUUAAUCCUGGAAGUUGUUUCAUGUAAGGGAAGGUUCAGUAGAAUGAAAACAGGACUGUAAGCUGGGAGGAGAUUUGGGGUCUCUUGGCCAACUCUGCCACAAAUUGUGUUACCUUCAACUUCCCUGCCUGUAAAAUGAAGUCAGUGGUCCCUAAAAUGAAAUUGGACUAAUGGCAAAUUAGCUAGCAUUUGAUUAUACAUCGAUAGUUUCCCCAUGUGAUUUUAACGCACAAAUCAGAUUUUGGAACCAUUAGGUAGGUGAUCUUAUCUUAUGAGUUUAUCUUUUUCAACAUGGAAAAAUAAAUUUGUUUUGCUGACCGAAGGCUGUGUAACUUAGAACUGGAAAGAGACAUGUAAUUGAAUAACCCAUCUCUAUGGGGCAAAAAAAUGAAACACCUUUAGUUUGUUCAAAGAUGAAAUGGAAAAAUAAACAUGUUUUAAGAUG
RNAcentral lists this long non-coding RNA (1296 nucleotides) under Homo sapiens (human). RNAcentral's name for it is "non-protein coding LINC01093:2". Lineage: Eukaryota; Metazoa; Chordata; Mammalia; Primates; Hominidae. The record is from RNAcentral.